This is a long non-coding RNA of Benincasa hispida (wax gourd), 614 nucleotides long. RefSeq lists it as uncharacterized. NCBI's taxonomy places the organism in Eukaryota, Viridiplantae, Streptophyta, Magnoliopsida, Cucurbitales, Cucurbitaceae. The record is from RefSeq and is a predicted model, not a curated record.
CCUCUUCCUCCAACCUUUUAAUUUCAACUCCCGUGGGUCGAGUGUUGAACACUCGACCUAUGUGUUUUUAAACACCUCCCCUCCCCUUCUCAUAUCACAUUUCGUCUCUGUCUUUACCAUCUCAUUUUCAAAAUUCUCCCUUCUUCCUCCUUGCAGAUACUAAAUCCCUCUCCUCCCAUUUUUUAACUCACUGUUUUCCAUCCAUUUCUCUUCUUCUAUUGGUUUGAUACAAAUUGUUCUCACACUUCUCCCUUGAUCACAAACUAUACUGUUGUUGCCAGAUAACAAAUAACAGGAAAAAAGGGUGAAUGUUGUCCCUUUGAAGGAAAAAAAACAGAAUUACCGUCGAAUUUGGAGGGUUUCUAUUGAACAGUUUGACAGGAUGUCACUCAAGACUACAUUCAUUGGUAUAAUAAUAUCACACGGCACUACGUCACUCGUUCGGGAGCAAUUGUGGGUUAUUUGGUAAAUGAAUGAUUAUUAUCUAAUUGUCUUCAUACGUGCAUGGGGUCGUGGAGAGCAUAAUGAAUAUUUAUAUUAUAAAGUGCCUGCAGAGAUACCAUAGCAACAUCAAGAAGAUCCAGAGCAACCUCAAGUUCGAAGUCGACAACGAU